UAUGGUCCUCGUGUCAUACAAUAACCUGAAAUUGCUCCUGGAAACCAAAGGAAUUGGCAAUGGAGAGGUUGAGAGCUGCGCGUCGUCUCCUUCAUUACUCAUCAUCGAAGUCCCUCUUUGGUCCUCGAUCGAAUCCAACUUCCGCAGAGCAUCCACUACGUCGCUCUGCCUCGGGCGUUUGGUAUUGGUGCCCAUAUAUUGCGGAUCAAAAGGGGAGAUUCGGAGGAACUUUUUGGGGUCCUACUGUGGGGACAGGCCUUGGAAAGACGAUCAGAAUCCAGAAUAGACGCUUUGGUUCAUUGGCAGCAACGAUUCAGAGGAACCCAUCAUUUUCGACUCUGAAUUCCGAUGAUAUAAGUUAUUUUAAGGGCGUAUUAGGCGAGAAAAAUGUCAUUCAGGAUGAGGACUGGCUUCUUUCUGCAAACACGGACUGGAUGCGGAAGUACAACGGGUCCAGUAAGCUUCUACUACAACCGAGGAGCACUGAGGAGGUCUCUCGGGUUCUUAAAUACUGUAAUUCCAGAAGCUUGGCUGUUGUACCCCAGGGUGGAAAUACUGGCCUUGUCGGUGGAAGUGUUCCUGUUUUUGAUGAAGUGAUUAUUAAUAUGGGUUCAAUGAAUAACAUCGUAUCUUUUGACGAGGUCAGUGGUAUAUUGGUAUGUGAAGCAGGGUGCAUUUUGGAAAACCUGAUUUCUUUUCUGGACAACCAGGGAUUUAUUAUGCCACUGGACUUGGGUGCAAAAGGAAGCUGCCAGAUUGGUGGAAAUGUUUCAACUAAUGCUGGUGGUUUGCGUCUUGUUCGUUAUGGAUCUCUUCAUGGAAAUGUACUUGGUAUUGAAGUUGUUUUAGCAAACGGUGAUGUGCUUGACAUGCUUGGGACUCUAAGGAAAGAUAAUACAGGGUAUGAUUUAAAGCAUUUAUUUAUAGGAAGUGAAGGAUCCUUGGGAAUUAUAACCAAGGUUUCCAUUCUUACUCCUCCAAAACUAUCUUCAGUGAAUCUCGCUUUUCUUGCAUGUAAAGACUAUUCCAGCUGCCUGAAACUUCUACUGGAAGCAAAGAGGAGACUUGGGGAGGUUUUAUCUGCAUUUGAAUUUUUGGAUAAUCAGUCACUGGAUCUGGUUCUGAAUCAUUUGGAAGGUGUUAGGAAUCCAUUACCUCCCUCAAUGCACAACUUCUAUGUUCUGAUUGAGACAACUGGCAGUGAUGAAUCUUAUGACAAGGAAAAGCUUGAAGCUUUCCUACUUCGCUCCAUGGAAGGUGGUUUGAUUUCCGAUGGUGUUCUUGCACAAGACAUAAACCAAGCUUCAUCAUUUUGGCGUAUACGUGAGGGUGUACCAGAGGCACUCAUGAAAGCAGGAGCUAUUUACAAAUAUGAUUUGUCAUUACCUGUUGAAAAGAUGUACAAUCUUGUUGAGGAAAUGCGAAUAAGGCUUGGUGAUUCAUCUAAAGUAAUUGGAUAUGGUCACCUUGGAGAUGGAAAUUUGCAUCUUAAUAUUUCAACUCCACAGUAUGACGAUAUGAUUUUAGCUCAAAUUGAGCCCUUUGUCUAUGAAUGGACAUCUAAGCACCGUGGGAGUAUUAGUGCAGAGCAUGGCUUGGGACUGAUGAAAGCUAAUAAGAUUUUCUACAGCAAAUCACGCGAAAGUGUGCAACUAAUGGCUUCCAUCAAGAAGUUGAUGGACCCCAAUGGCAUACUGAACCCAUAUAAAGUUCUUCCGCACUCCCUUUCUUACGGCUGAGAAGGUAGUUGGGGAACGAACAACAGCCUUGUGAAUUAAGCCGGUUUUACCCGAAAUGAGGGACUGGCUUUCCUGGGUGAAGAGGGAUAACAUUGUUUAAUAUUCCUUUAAGAAACCUCAUGUCACAAAUCAAUCAAUAUCAAGUCCAAAGCUCAAUCGACCACACCCUGAGGUAGCCAGAAACAUGGUCUGGUCUCAAGUUGGAGCAAGUGGACUGACCUGAGCUACAGGCUAGUAGGAUGCAAGUCUAACUUCAUGGGGGUAAACUACAAUUUACAAAAGUUUGAGAUGCUCUUUAGUAACAAGCAUCUGACUGGAGAAAGAAGUUGUAAUACAGAUCACUACUGUGGCAAUUGACAGAUUGCAAACUCCAUUCCGUGACAAUAAGCUGUGUGUGUUAGGGUACCUGAAAGGUAUUGAAUACUCGAUGAAUCAGAGUCACUUUCAUGUUUA
RNA transcript from Juglans regia (Persian walnut), 2192 nucleotides. It is a transcript of the gene named D-2-hydroxyglutarate dehydrogenase, mitochondrial, with no coding region annotated. The transcript is spliced from 17 exons. Lineage: Eukaryota; Viridiplantae; Streptophyta; Magnoliopsida; Fagales; Juglandaceae. The record is from RefSeq and is a predicted model, not a curated record.